CCAAUAGCGUAUAUUAAAGUUGUUGCAGUUAAAAAGCUCGUAGUUGAAUUUCGGGGUCAGCAGGUUGGUCGUGCCACCGGUAUGUACUGGCUUUGCUGAUUCCUCCCUCUUGUAGAACCGUAAUGCCAUUAAUUUGGUGUUGCGGGGAAACUGGACUGUUACUUUGAAAAAAUUAGAGUGUUUAAAGCAGGCUAACGCUUGAAUACAUUAGCAUGGAAUAAUGAAAUAGGACGUUGAUCUUAUUUUGUUGGUUUCUAGGAUUGACGUAAUGAUUAAUAGGGAUAGUUGGGGGCACUAGUAUUCAAUUGUCAGAGGUGAAAUUCUUGGAUUUAUUGAAGACUAACUACUGCGAAAGCAUUUGCCAAGGAUGUUUUCAUUAAUCAAGAACGAAAGUUAGGGGAUCGAAGACGAUCAGAUACCGUCGUAGUCUUAACCAUAAACUAUGCCGACUAGGGAUCGGAUGAUGUUAAUUUUUUAAUGACUCAUUCGGCGCCUUACG
Molecule: ribosomal RNA, 499 nt
Filed under: uncultured Glomeromycotina
Lineage: Eukaryota; Fungi; Glomeromycota
Description: partial small subunit ribosomal RNA
Rfam family: Eukaryotic small subunit ribosomal RNA
Source: RNAcentral